This is a non-coding RNA of Acanthosepion pharaonis, 114 nucleotides long. NCBI's taxonomy places the organism in Eukaryota, Metazoa, Mollusca, Cephalopoda, Sepiida, Sepiidae. The record is from the annotation of a GenBank genome assembly.
UUAUGGCCAUACCAGGUUAAAACACCAGUUCUCGUACGAUCACCGAAGUUGAGCAACAUCAAGCCUGGUCAGUACCUAGAUGGGUGACCACUUGGAAAUACCAGGUGUUGUAAG